GAUGAACGCUGGCGGCGUGCCUAAUACAUGCAAGUCGAACGAAACUUCUUUAUCACCGAGUGCUUGCACUCACCGAUAAAGAGUUGAGUGGCGAACGGGUGAGUAACACCUUGUCCACCUGCCCAAACGAGGGGGAUCACACUUUGAUACAGCUUCUAAUCCCCCAUAACCAUAGUUACAUCAUGUAACUAUGUAAAAGUUAGCUAUCCUACCGCUUUUUGAUUGGCCCGCGGCGCAUUAGCUAGUUGGUAGGGUAAAGGCUUACCAAGGCGAUGAUGCGUAGCCGAACUGAGAGGUUGAUCGGCCACACUGGAACUGAGACACGGCCCAAACUCCUACGGGAGGCAGCAGUAGGGAAUAUUCCACAAUGGGCGAAAGCCUGAUGGAGCAACGCCGCGUGGGUGAAGAAGGUCUUCGGAUCGUAAAACCCUGUUGUUAGGGAAGAAAGUGAGUGGGAGUAACUGCUCACGUUUCGACGGUAUCUAAACAGAAAGCCACGGCUAACUACGUG
Molecule: ribosomal RNA, 511 nt
Filed under: uncultured bacterium
Lineage: Bacteria
Description: partial 16S ribosomal RNA
Rfam family: Bacterial small subunit ribosomal RNA
Source: RNAcentral